UGCCCCAUGGCUGAGUUGGUCACAGCGUCCGACUGUUAAUGCAGAGCCUCAAGACUCUACCGCAUGACAUCGGAAGGUCGUGAGUUCGAGCCUCACUGGGGCAG
Transfer RNA from Laetiporus sulphureus 93-53, 104 nucleotides. It matches the Rfam family "tRNA". Rfam says of the family: Transfer RNA (tRNA) molecules are approximately 80 nucleotides in length. Their secondary structure includes four short double-helical elements and three loops (D, anti-codon, and T loops). Further hydrogen bonds mediate the characteristic L-shaped molecular structure. tRNAs have two regions of fundamental functional importance: the anti-codon, which is responsible for specific mRNA codon recognition, and the 3' end, to which the tRNAs corresponding amino acid is attached (by aminoacyl-tRNA synthetases). tRNAs cope with the degeneracy of the genetic code in two manners: having more than one tRNA (with a specific anti-codon) for a particular amino acid; and 'wobble' base-pairing, i.e. permitting non-standard base-pairing at the 3rd anti-codon position. Lineage: Eukaryota; Fungi; Basidiomycota; Agaricomycetes; Polyporales; Laetiporaceae. The record is from Rfam.